AAAGCCCAGCACCGAAGCCUGUGACUGUUUGGUCACUAGGCAAUGUGGACAUCUCCCUGGGUAGACCUUGGAGUCGGGUUGUUUGUGAUUGCAGCCCAAAGUGGGUGGUAAACUCCAUCCAAGGCUAAAUACUUACACGAGUCCGAUAGCGAACAAGUACCGUGAGGGAAAGUUGAAAAGUACUUUGAAGAGAGAGUAAACAGUGCGUGAAACCGCUCAGAGGUAAACGGGUGGAGUUGAACUGCAAACUCUGAGAAUUCAGCUGGUGAGUGUGGUUUGGGCUUGGUCAAAGUGAUUGGCCUGGUGGGUCUGCUCAGCUGCAGGUCCCUGCCUUCGGGUGGGGAUGUGCGAGGCACUUGUCAAGUGUUGCGCGCCCGCAAGGUAACUCGGAUCAGCUCGCCAGUGCACUUUCUCGGAGUGUUCACCACGACCGGCGCUGCUGCCUGUCUGAUGUGGUCAAACCGGUCUUGCAUUGUCCUUGCGGCUCUGUUUGGUCGGGAUGGCAGGUAACUCGUUGGCUUGUGUGCUGGCUUCGGUUGGCAUGCGUUUGGCUUUCGAGCGUAAUCAGCUGGCUAUGUCAGUACUGUGCAGUGCGUCGGAGACGGCGGCUUGUUGUGGGUGUUCGUGCUUGCUCAUUGACGGCUCCGAGUUUGAUUGUUAUGUUGCCUGUCUCUGAUAGGCCUGGUAAUAGCUCGGUUCUGCUUGGUGGGCAGUUGCGGAUGCCUAUAUUUCAGGGCCAACAGUCUGUGGUGUAGUGGUAGACUAUCCACCCGACCCGUCUUGAAACACGGACCAAGGAGAGUAACAUGUGCGCGAGUCAUUGGGCGUUACGAAACCCAAAGGCGCAGUGAAAGUAAAGGCUCGGCUUGUCUGGGCUGAGGUGAGAUCCUGUCGUUCCUCACGCAAGGUACUGCCAAGCGUUUGAGCGGCGGGCGCAUCACCGGCCCGUCCCAUGGCGUGGACACGGUCUUCGGGCUGUGCACCGUCGGGGCGGAGCAUGAGCGCACAUGUUGAGACCCGAAAGAUGGUGAACUAUGCUUGCGCAGGUUGAAGCCAGAGGAAACUCUGGUGGAGGACCGCAGCGAUUCUGACGUGCAAAUCGAUCGUCAAACGUGAGUAUAGGGGCGAAAG
Molecule: ribosomal RNA, 1131 nt
Filed under: Orthocoelium orthocoelium
Lineage: Eukaryota; Metazoa; Platyhelminthes; Trematoda; Plagiorchiida; Paramphistomidae
Description: eukaryotic LSU rRNA
Rfam family: Eukaryotic large subunit ribosomal RNA
Source: RNAcentral